RNAcentral lists this ribosomal RNA (759 nucleotides) under uncultured bacterium. RNAcentral describes it as "bacterial SSU rRNA". It matches the Rfam family "Bacterial small subunit ribosomal RNA", at positions 8 to 796 of the family's 1533-position model. The record is from RNAcentral.
AGAGUUUGAUCCUGGCUCAGAACGAACGCUGGCGGCAUGCCUAACACAUGCAAGUCGAACGCUCCCGGGGCUUCGGUCCCGGGGGAGUGGCGCACGGGUGAGUAGCGCGUGGGAACCUGCCCUGUUGUGGGGGAUAACCGAGGGAAACUUCGGCUAAUACCGCAUGCGCCCGAAGGUAACUUCGGGGAAAGAUUUAUCGCAGCAGGAGGGGCCCGCGUCGGAUUAGCUAGUUGGUGGGGUAACGGCCCACCAAGGCGAUGAUCCGUAGCUGGUCUGAGAGGAUGAUCAGCCACACUGGGACUGAGACACGGCCCAGACUCCUACGGGAGGCAGCAGUGGGGAAUAUUGGACAAUGGGCGCAAGCCUGAUCCAGCAAUGCCGCGUGAGUGAUGAAGGCCUUAGGGUUGUAAAGCUCUUUCGCCCGCGACGAUGAUGACGGUAGCGGGAGAAGAAGCCCCGGCUAACUUCGUGCCAGCAGCCGCGGUAAUACGAAGGGGGCGAGCGUUGUUCGGAUUUACUGGGCGUAAGGGGCGCGUAGGCGGCGUAUCAAGUCAGGCGUGAAAGCCCCGGGCUCAACCUGGGAAUGGCGCUUGGGACUGGUAUGCUUGAGUUCGGGAGAGGAGAGUGGAAUUCCCAGUGUAGAGGUGAAAUUCGUAGAUAUUGGGAAGAACACCGGUGGCGAAGGCGGCUCUCUGGACCGAGACUGAGCUGAGGCGCGAAAGCGUGGGGAGCAAACAGGAUUAGAUACCCUAGUAGUCC